UACGUAGGGGGCUAGCGUUGUCCGGAUUUAUUGGGCGUAAAGAGCGUGUAGGCGGCCAGGUAGGUCUGCUGUGAAAACUCGAGGCUCAACCUCGAGACGUCGGCGGAAACCAUCCGGCUAGAGUCCGGAAGAGGAGAGUGGAAUUCCUGGUGUAGCGGUGAAAUGCGCAGAUAUCAGGAAGAACACCCGUGGCGAAGGCGGCUCUCUGGGACGGUACUGACGCUGAGACGCGAAAGCGUGGGGAGCGAACAGG
Molecule: ribosomal RNA, 253 nt
Filed under: uncultured bacterium
Lineage: Bacteria
Description: partial 16S ribosomal RNA
Rfam family: Bacterial small subunit ribosomal RNA
Source: RNAcentral